This is a long non-coding RNA of Bradysia coprophila, 1056 nucleotides long. RefSeq lists it as uncharacterized. The record is from RefSeq and is a predicted model, not a curated record. NCBI's taxonomy places the organism in Eukaryota, Metazoa, Arthropoda, Insecta, Diptera, Sciaridae.
CAUCCUUAAAACAAAAAACUAUGACGAGAGGGGAGAAUCGACCAGAUAGUGAAAGAAGAUUCAGUAUCAAUUUAAACGAUCGUCGAUAAAGACAAAUUAUUUAUUUAUCGGAUAUUGUCAGCACACCAAAGAGUUGCCUGUGACGAGCAUUACUGUUCCUAUAUUUAUUUAACAUCCUGAACGAUUAAAAAUUUCGAUCAAAUUUCAACAAGACAUCGUUAUGGGAGUAAAUCAGUCAAUACCAGAUGCACCAUCAACGAUCUACUCAUCAUCGUUUCCAAUAUGCGGUACUGAACGUCGAUUCUGUCUACCACACAAUGUUGAACUUCAUAUCAAGGAGAGAUCCACAUCCAUGUCUGGUGGUGAUUUCAAAGUGAUGGACGCCAACGAUAAUAACAUAGUCUACUUUCGGUGUGAGGGUCGUGUAAUGAGUUCGGAAAAAUAUUUAAGAGAUGGUGCGGGUGCACUUGUUCUCAAACGUUGCAGCAGCAAUAGAAUCAAAAUAUUUGCUGAUGAUGGAAGCGCACCUAAAGUCUGUAAAUUCAAAUCGACACAUGCGUCGCUUUUGAGUCCUGCUAAAGUGUCGACAGUAUUUCACAAUGUCUUCAAUGGAAUCGAACAUGAACUGAUGUUGAAAUGCUCCACUAGUAAUAAAAGUACGGCGAUUUGGUUGUGUGAUGUGGAAACAAGGGAACGCUUCCCACUAGCCCGUAUUUUCAAACCUAUCAUGAGACAAUGUGGAAAUGAUUUUAUAAUGGAAGUGGCUGCUAACGUCGACAUAGCUAUUUGUGUUAUUAUGUGCAUUGAUUUAGUCGAGCGUUGUUAAAGAUAGAAAAACUAAAAAAAAAAAAUGUUUUCGGCGAUUAGUGUUUCGAAAGAAAAAGUUUAAUAUUUAAGUUCUGUACUUUAGGUUAGUGUUAAGUGACGACGAAAGUGAAUUAACGUUAAAAGCGUUUUCAAAGUUCACUUCCUAUCAAGGAUUAAGGAUUGUCUUGCAAAUUUGCAAUUUGCGUUCUAAACAUUUUGAGAAAUUAAAGUAAGAGAUAACCGAGUAAA